GUACACACCGCCCGUCGGUACUACCGAAUGAAUGGCUCAGUGAGGCCUUCGGACUGGCUCGAGGAGGUUGGCAACGACCACCUCAAGCCGGAAAGUUCGUCAAACUCGGUCAUUUAGAGGAAGUAAAAGUCGUAACAAGGUCUCCGUAGGUGAACCUGCGGAGGGAUCAUUACACAAAUAUGAAGGCGGGCUGGAACCUCUCGGGGUUACAGCCUUGCUGAAUUAUUCACCCUUGUCUUUUGCGUACUUCUUGUUUCCUUGGUGGGUUCGCCCACCACUAGGACAAACAUAAACCUUUUGUAAUUGCAAUCAGCGUCAGUAACAAAUUAAUAAUUACAACUUUCAACAACGGAUCUCUUGGUUCUGGCAUCGAUGAAGAACGCAGCGAAAUGCGAUAAGUAGUGUGAAUUGCAGAAUUCAGUGAAUCAUCGAAUCUUUGAACGCACAUUGCGCCCUUUGGUAUUCCAAAGGGCAUGCCUGUUCGAGCGUCAUUUGUACCCUCAAGCUUUGCUUGGUGUUGGGCGUCUUGUCUCUAGCUUUGCUGGAGACUCGCCUUAAAGUAAUUGGCAGCCGGCCUACUGGUUUCGGAGCGCAGCACAAGUCGCACUCUCUAUCAGCAAAGGUCUAGCAUCCAUUAAGCCUUUUUUUCAACUUU
This 655-nucleotide ribosomal RNA is filed under the name Alternaria tenuissima. RNAcentral's name for it is "eukaryotic LSU rRNA". The stretch from base 338 to 491 matches the Rfam family "5.8S ribosomal RNA". Lineage: Eukaryota; Fungi; Ascomycota; Dothideomycetes; Pleosporales; Pleosporaceae. The record is from RNAcentral.